Podarcis raffonei (Aeolian wall lizard) is the source of this 1434-nucleotide long non-coding RNA. RefSeq lists it as uncharacterized. NCBI's taxonomy places the organism in Eukaryota, Metazoa, Chordata, Lepidosauria, Squamata, Lacertidae. The record is from RefSeq and is a predicted model, not a curated record. The transcript has 2 exons.
UCAUGGAAGACUCUACAUGUGCACUAAUUUAUAGGAGCACCGCCAGCCAUUAGCUUUUGACGUAACAAGGCUUAAAGUUUGUGAGACAAGUAAUGUUUUCUGAAGAAAGCUACUUAUGUUAGUAAGCCAGCUGAGAAGCCUAGCAAAAUUCAUUCCACGGGGAGAAGCAAACUCAUAUUCUAUAUUUCACAAAGCCAUCAUUUAUAAAAGGUGAAAACUCUUUUUCUGCCGGAUUUGAAAAAUAGUAUUGAGCUAUAAUGUGGGGCAUUACCUUCCCUCCAAGAAUAUCAUAUGCUUGGAUUCACUCAGUCUUUGAAGAACACUGGGAAAUUUCAGGUGAUUCAGAAGAGGUGGACAGAUUGUUACCUGGAGUUGUACAUUGGGAACAUGUGACUCCUCUUCACUGGCUUAUGCUUUGCUUCUGGGCCCAAUUUCAAGUGCUGGUUAUGACCUUUGAAGCCUUCUGUGCUUUAGGACCUCCUCCUACUUAAGUCCACCGGCUCAUUAAGAUAAUCCGUGCACACUCUCUUGUCUGUUCUACUCAUAUCUGAAGCAUGUAUCCUUGGACCAGGGAAGCAUCCUUCUCAGUGACUGUGCUUAGGGUGUCUGACCUUAGUCCCUCUCUGGAGGUCUUUUAUCGGAGUGUUAGCACCUUGCUUCUCAGGAAGCUCUUUGGGCUCUAAUUGUGACCCUCUUGCUACUUGAUUUUGAAGUUAUUCAAAAUCACUUUCUGGUCUGUUGUGUUUUUCAAUGACACUUUUGCGGUUAGCUGCUUGACUCCGGAUUUUAUGGGAUGUUUUCCCCUUCCACCCUUGGAUAUCAUUGUCAUUGUACAGUAUUGGCUUAGGGGUUCUUCUCCAGCUUGGGAAGCUGAGUUAAAAUUGUUUUAAAUUAACAAACUGAGGCAUAGCAGCCUUGUCGCGCAAGGCUCCUGCCCACUGUAUUUCAUCACAGAUGAGUUAGGCAGGAUCAUCAUUUGUUGUGGCUUUGAGGCUGCCUAUAAAAAGGCAAAGCCCGCCACCCUGAACCUCAGGCUCCCAAGUGCAGGUUAUGCCACCACUGCUAAGAGCUUGAGAGAAGAAAGAAACAUCAAAUGGCCCGAAUCAAACGCAGCCGGAGCCGGAGCCUGACCCGCUUCCGUCAAAUGAGGCAAAAGGCCAGCCAUGCGGGUGGCUCUGGAAAGAGACGAAAAAGACGCCAGGGCAAAAGGAAAGGUCGUGGUCGCAAGAAGGGGCGAAGAAGAAGACACUAAACUCUUUUCAUCUUCAUGGUGUUCUGUGCCCUUGAUUUCAACCAUCUGACUCACCAAAACCUUUGUCUAACAAAAUGAACACAACAAUCUUUCAUGAGAAAUACCCAGGAUAACUUCCUGAGAUUCAAGGAGCCUGCAACAAAUUGAACAAUGCCACCUGUCAAUAAAAUGCUAAAAUUUCA